Molecule: long non-coding RNA, 101 nt
Organism: Tyto alba (common barn owl)
Lineage: Eukaryota; Metazoa; Chordata; Aves; Strigiformes; Tytonidae
Exons: 3
Source: RefSeq, a predicted model, not a curated record
GAAUGUCUUAGCAACACGCAUUCCCUCCCAGACAGCCAGAGUGGGCCUUCACAAGAAUGAGGAAGAAGAAUAAAUGUUAAGUGUCCUACAUUGCUUCACGA